Long non-coding RNA from Salvia hispanica, 492 nucleotides. RefSeq lists it as uncharacterized. NCBI's taxonomy places the organism in Eukaryota, Viridiplantae, Streptophyta, Magnoliopsida, Lamiales, Lamiaceae. The record is from RefSeq and is a predicted model, not a curated record.
UCUGCUUCUAGACAUGGUGGCUCUCUAAUAAAAGACCCGUAGAGAAAUCGACUUGCUUUAUAAUUUCACCAAAAAAAAUCAAAUCACUCACACCACCCACCAGGACUCAAACUCAUAAAUUUUUUAAGACGAAACCCCCAUCCAGAAUCUAUGGGCUUGUUUCAGACGAGGAAGAGCAUCUAUUUGAUUUUGCUUGUAGCAUGUUUAGCAAUUCAAGAAACCAGCAGAGGUGAAGCAAUACGGACAAUUCCCUUCCGAUUUCAACAAGGUGAUAAGAAAACAUUUGCAACACUGGGAGUGGUAUGCAAGUGUUGUGAUAGCGCUGAAGAAUCAUGUACAUCUUCGUGGAACGGAUCAUGCUCCAAACUUCAUUGUCUUCCUUGGAAAUUUCAAUAACAUAUUUCGAUAUAUAUAUGAUAUAUGUAUAGUUUUGAUUCAGUUGUAAUGAUAUACUCCAUGUUUAUAUGCUGACUUCUUGUCUAUUUUUUCAAA